AUCUAAGAAGAAUAAUGAGGAGGUAGAAUAUGUGGGUACACGUGAACCAGAACCAGUACAACCAGAAGCUCAAGUAGAAGAUGGGCUGGAGCAUUUGGUAGAAACAGAAGAUCAAGUACCAGACGAGGCAGGUAAUUUGGAAGAACCAGAAGCUCAAUUACAAGAUGGCCCAGAGAUGAAUGAAGAAACAGAGCUGAAUGAAGAAGUUCCUGAUAAGGAGUUGAAUGAAGAAGAGCCUGACAAAGCUCUGAAUGAUGAAGAGCCUGA
Molecule: long non-coding RNA, 267 nt
Filed under: Arabidopsis lyrata
Lineage: Eukaryota; Viridiplantae; Streptophyta; Magnoliopsida; Brassicales; Brassicaceae
Description: long non-coding RNA (ALYR_LNC003199)
Source: RNAcentral